This 79-nucleotide microRNA precursor is filed under the name Loxodonta africana (African savanna elephant). RNAcentral describes it as "microRNA 323b (ENSLAFG00000025548.1)". The record is from RNAcentral. Lineage: Eukaryota; Metazoa; Chordata; Mammalia; Proboscidea; Elephantidae.
CAGGGAUGCUGAGCACAGUGCCACCUCAUGGUACUUGGAAGGAGGUUGCCCGUGGUGAGUUUGCAUUACCUAAUGAUGC